This 253-nucleotide ribosomal RNA is filed under the name uncultured bacterium. Its description in RNAcentral is "partial 16S ribosomal RNA". It matches the Rfam family "Bacterial small subunit ribosomal RNA", at positions 524 to 776 of the family's 1533-position model. The record is from RNAcentral.
UACGUAGGGGGCAAGCGUUGUCCGGAUUUAUUGGGCGUAAAGAGCGUGUAGGCGGCCAUACAGGUCCGUUGUGAAAACUGGAGGCUUAACCUCCAGACGUCGAUGGAAACCGUAUGGCUAGAGUCCGGAAGAGGAGAGUGGAAUUCCUGGUGUAGCGGUGAAAUGCGCAGAUAUCAGGAAGAACACCCAUGGCGAAGGCGGCUCUCUGGGACGGUACUGACGCUGAGACGCGAAAGCGUGGGGAGCGAACAGG